This 253-nucleotide ribosomal RNA is filed under the name uncultured bacterium. RNAcentral's name for it is "partial 16S ribosomal RNA". It matches the Rfam family "Bacterial small subunit ribosomal RNA", at positions 524 to 776 of the family's 1533-position model. The record is from RNAcentral.
UACGUAGGGGGCAAGCGUUGUCCGGAAUCAUUGGGCGUAAAGAGCGUGUAGGCGGCCCGAUAAGUCCGCUGUGAAAGUCCAGGGCUCAACCCUGGGAUGCCGGUGGAUACUGUCGGGCUCGAGUCCGGAAGAGGCGAGUGGAAUUCCUGGUGUAGCGGUGGAAUGCGCAGAUAUCAGGAGGAACACCAAUAGCGAAGGCAGCUCGCUGGGACGGUACUGACGCUAAGGCGCGAAAGCGUGGGGAGCAAACAGG